AUACGGAGGAUGCGAGCGUUAUCCGGAUUUAUUGGGUUUAAAGGGAGCGUAGGCGGGAGCUUAAGUCAGCGGUUAAAUGGUGCGGCUCAACCGUGCCCUGCCGUUGAAACUGGGUUUCUUGAGAGUGCAAGAGGCGGAUGGAAUUCAUGGUGUAGUGGUGAAAUGCUUAGAUAUCAUGAAGAACUCCGAGUGCGAAGGCAGUCCGCUGGGGCACGUCUGACGCUGAUGCUCGAAGGUGCGGGAAUCAAACAGGAUUAGAUACCCUGGUAGUCCGCACGGUAAACGAUGAUUACCCGCUGUCGGCGGCAGACAGUCGGCGGCCAAGCGAAAGCGAUAAGUAAUCCACCUGGGGAGUACGCCGGCAACGGUGAAACUCAAAGGAAUUGACGGGG
This 392-nucleotide ribosomal RNA is filed under the name uncultured bacterium. RNAcentral describes it as "partial 16S ribosomal RNA". It matches the Rfam family "Bacterial small subunit ribosomal RNA", at positions 523 to 918 of the family's 1533-position model. The record is from RNAcentral.